RNAcentral lists this ribosomal RNA (425 nucleotides) under uncultured bacterium. Its description in RNAcentral is "bacterial SSU rRNA". It matches the Rfam family "Bacterial small subunit ribosomal RNA", at positions 354 to 796 of the family's 1533-position model. The record is from RNAcentral.
GUGGGGAAUAUUGGACAAUGGGCGAAAGCCUGAUCCAGCAAUGCCGCGUGAGUGAAGAAGGCCUUAGGGUUGUAAAGCUCUUUCGCCUGCGACGAUGAUGACGGUAGCAGGAGAAGAAGCCCCGGCUAAUUCCGUGCCAGCAGCCGCGGUAAUACGGAAGGGGCUAGCGUUGUUCGGAAUCACUGGGCGUAAAGCGCGCGUAGGCGGCUUGGCAAGUGAGGCGUGAAAGUCCUGGGCUCAACCCGGGGACUGCGCUUCAGACUGCUUGGCUUGAGUCCGGAAGAGGGUGGUGGAAUUCCGAGUGUAGAGGUGAAAUUCGUAGAUAUUCGGAGGAACACCGGCGGCGAAGGCGGCCACCUGGUCCGGAACUGACGCUCAAGUGCGAAAGCGUGGGGAGCAAACAGGAUUAGAAACCCGAGUAGUCC